CCUACGGGGGGCAGCAGUUAGGAAUCUUCCGCAAUGGACGGAAGUCUGACGGAGCGACGCCGCUUGGAGGAGGAAGCCCUUCGGGGUGUAAACUCCUGAACUGGGGACGCGGUACCCAGGUAAUAGCGCCGGCCAACUCCGUGCCAGCAGCCGCGGUAAUACGGAGGGCGCGAGCGUUACCCGGAUUUACUGGGCGUAAAGGGCGUGUAGGCGGCCUGGGGCGUCCCAUGUGAAAGGCCACGGCUCAACCGUGGAGGAGCGUGGGAUACGCUCAGGCUAGAGGGUGGGAGAGGGUGGUGGAAUUCCCGGAGUAGCGGUGAAAUGCGCAGAUACCGGGAGGAACGCCGAUGGCGAAGGCAGCCACCUGGUCCACUCUGACGCUGAGGCGCGAAAGCGUGGGGAGCAAACCGGAUUAGAUACCCUUGUAGUC
RNAcentral lists this ribosomal RNA (430 nucleotides) under uncultured bacterium. Its description in RNAcentral is "partial 16S ribosomal RNA". It matches the Rfam family "Bacterial small subunit ribosomal RNA", at positions 338 to 795 of the family's 1533-position model. The record is from RNAcentral.